GAGGGAAUCUCCACCUGCCUCUGGAUGAUACUUACCCGCAUACAGCAGCAUUGGAACUCUGUUCUUUGGGCAUUCUGAUCCUCCAGGUCGUUUCUUUAGAUUCUAGUAAUCACACCAUCCAGUAUAUAUAAAGAAAUGAGGAUCAACAGCAACAUACAAAAAAGAAAGAAAGAAACUGAAAUAACUAUUUGCAAUCCUCUGUUUUUUAGUAUAUUCUCAUCAGAUAAUGAAAAUUCUCCCCACAUGAUUCCCAGUUAUUCACUUCUAAAAUUUAACUCUAAAACAAAACAG
Alligator sinensis (Chinese alligator) is the source of this 291-nucleotide long non-coding RNA. RefSeq lists it as uncharacterized. NCBI's taxonomy places the organism in Eukaryota, Metazoa, Chordata, Crocodylia, Alligatoridae. The transcript is spliced from 3 exons. The record is from RefSeq and is a predicted model, not a curated record.